Molecule: ribosomal RNA, 351 nt
Filed under: Triticum aestivum (bread wheat)
Lineage: Eukaryota; Viridiplantae; Streptophyta; Magnoliopsida; Poales; Poaceae
Description: partial small subunit ribosomal RNA
Source: RNAcentral
AUGGAGAAAAAUAAAGCUGCUGGUCCGGAUGGUCUUAACAUGGAGUUUUAUCAGCACUUCUGGGCCCUGGUUGAGGAUAAUCUAUUUGCAUUAUUAGAAGAGUUUUAUGAACAUAAUUUAGACCUUGAUAGGCUGAAUUAUGGAGUAAUCUCCCUCUUGCCCAAAGGGAGUGGCGCUGACAAAAUUCAAAAAUAUAUACCGAUUUGCCUUCUGAAUGUUAUUUUCAAGAUUAUUACCAAAAUUUUUGUUAAUAGAUUGAUUAGAAUUAUAUCUGGGGUGAUAAGGGCCUCUCAAAUGCUAAUUUUUUUAAUAAUACAUUUUUUAUUAAAUUUCAGAAAUAUUACGCCGUAA